This 157-nucleotide ribosomal RNA is filed under the name Parathermosynechococcus lividus C1. Its description in RNAcentral is "Synechococcus lividus C1 partial 16S ribosomal RNA". It matches the Rfam family "Bacterial small subunit ribosomal RNA", at positions 45 to 229 of the family's 1533-position model. Lineage: Bacteria; Bacillati; Cyanobacteriota; Cyanophyceae; Acaryochloridales; Thermosynechococcaceae. The record is from RNAcentral.
CUGCUUAACACAUGCAAGUCGAACGAGCUCUUCGGAGCUAGUGGCGGACGGGUGAGUAACACGUGAGAAUCUACCCUUAGGAGGGGGAUAACAGCUGGAAACGGCUGCUAAUACCCCAUAUGCCGCAAGGUGAAAUCUUUUUUGGCCUGAGGAUGAG